RNAcentral lists this ribosomal RNA (407 nucleotides) under uncultured Acidothermus sp. RNAcentral's name for it is "bacterial SSU rRNA". It matches the Rfam family "Bacterial small subunit ribosomal RNA", at positions 355 to 774 of the family's 1533-position model. Lineage: Bacteria; Bacillati; Actinomycetota; Actinomycetes; Acidothermales; Acidothermaceae. The record is from RNAcentral.
UGGGGAAUAUUGCGCAAUGGGGGAAACCCUGACGCAGCGACGCCGCGUGCGGGAUGAAGGCCUUCGGGUUGUAAACCGCUUUCAGCAGGGACGAAGCGAAAGUGACGGUACCUGCAGAAGAAGCGCCGGCUAACUACGUGCCAGCAGCCGCGGUAACACGUAGGGCGCGAGCGUUGUCCGGAAUUAUUGGGCGUAAAGAGCUCGUAGGCGGCCUGUUGCGUCCGCUGUGAAAGCCCGGGGCUUAACCCCGGGUCGGCAGUGGAUACGGGCAGGCUAGAGGUAGGUAGGGGAGAAUGGAAUUCCCGGUGUAGCGGUGAAAUGCGCAGAUAUCGGGAGGAACACCGGUGGCGAAGGCGGUUCUCUGGGCCUUACCUGACGCUGAGGAGCGAAAGCGUGGGGAGCGAACA